UACGGUAACCGUAGAGCUCAUC
Molecule: microRNA, 22 nt
Filed under: Heligmosomoides polygyrus
Lineage: Eukaryota; Metazoa; Nematoda; Chromadorea; Rhabditida; Heligmosomidae
Description: hpo-miR-10036-2-5p
Source: miRBase by way of RNAcentral